This 954-nucleotide long non-coding RNA is filed under the name Mus musculus (house mouse). RNAcentral describes it as "long non-coding RNA chr9:35013789-35014743". The record is from RNAcentral. Lineage: Eukaryota; Metazoa; Chordata; Mammalia; Rodentia; Muridae.
GGAGAUGUACUCUCAAGGGCAUGCAGGGAGUAAGUAUCAGGGUGAGGACUGAAGCCAGACAAUAACUAAAUCCAUCACCGAUACACACUCCACUGUCCCACUGAGGGGACACAUGGACAGCUUCCUUUCCUCACCAGUGGCCCAACAGAUGAAGCCAACCUACUUUUAAGGACUAGCCAGAUGGAUGUAAAAAAACAAAAAAAACAAACAAACAAACAAAAAAAAAAAAAAACAGAGGUCCUGUAGUCCAGUCACUCAAAAGGCUAAAACAGGAGGAUUGCCUUGAGUUUGAGGCCAGGCAGGGCUACUUAGUGAAUUCAAAGCCAGUCUGAGAUGCUUAUCACAACCAUAUAUAUAAUUAGUUCACAUACAAACCAUUAGUAUGUGAACGUUUUAAAAGCACUUUCACAAAGUUGAAUUUGCCUGACCCUUACGUCCUACAAAGACUCAGUAGAUAUAUUGUCUUACCUGUUACAUCCAUCUUGAAACUACUCUCCAUCUCCUGGUUCUAGACAACGAGUUCUAGUUGCCUUCUCAAUGAAGCACUCCAAGGCCUUCGUGCACAGCUCUCCCCAUAACCCAGCCACUAUAUGGAACAGGCUUGGUCUACAGGCCAGGGUGUUGGACUAGGUCAGACAAGGACUCACACGCACUGAGUAGAGGUGCCAGAGGUGGGGUCAAGAGCUGGUCAAGAAAGCUAAAAAGGGGUCUGAGGUGUCUUGGAUAGAAGACAUCCUGUAAGAGCUGCAUACCUCUGCACACAUGGGAAACACUAAUUUGACUUAAUGUUUAUUAAAACAAUUUUAAAACGAAGACAUUAAGAAGUAUGGGGGUAUGCGAGGGAGAUAUUAGGAGGUUGAAGGAAGGUAGUAAGUGCAAGAUAUGAUCGUGUUUCAUUGUGUACAUGGAUGAAAUUCUCAAGAAGAGAGAAAAAUUAUAAUAAUAAAAUAUUCC